Molecule: long non-coding RNA, 2102 nt
Filed under: Calidris pugnax (ruff)
Lineage: Eukaryota; Metazoa; Chordata; Aves; Charadriiformes; Scolopacidae
Description: lncRNA (ENSCPUG00000009081.1)
Source: RNAcentral
GCCAUCCACCUUCUCCACAGAAUGUUUUCAAGCAGGGAGUUUAUUUAUAUGUUGAACUUAAAACCAAAAAAGGGAACUUCUGUUUGCAAAUGCAACUACUCAGGAUGUGACUGUAGUUCCCCAGUACAGUCACGUGACCCACUUUAUUUUUUUUUUUAAAAAGGCGCUGCAGAAGAGCUAAAUUCAGAAAAUUUGGCUGAAACCACGCUGUUGUCAAAACUUCACGAUGAACUUAUUAACAAGCUGGAUGUCAGUCCUAAUGGCAUUUCUUCUUCUCUUACAUUUUUGGAGAGCAAAGGUCUAUGCUUCUGGAAACUCAGAGGAGGAAAUAGAUUUGACGUAUGUUAUUAUAGGAGUUACUCUGGGAGUGAUUCUAACAAUCGGUUUUAUAGCAGUAAUAAUCUGCUUGAUCAAAAAACAAGUGAUUGACAUUGGAGGGGGACUGACUGAUUUUGUCAUGGCAGCAAAAUUUAACAUCUUUAAUGAUGACCUUACAUUCACCCCUUUGAUGAUUCCUCGUCCCAGUCUACAGACGUUUGCUGAAAGGUCAAACAUGGGAUCAAGCCAAAACAGAGAUGAUGUCAACGUACUUGGAAAGCAAAGUACAAAUGAUCAAUAACCCUUUUGCGAUCAACAGUUACCUGCUCUGAGGAUCAAUAGAAGUCUCUUGUGCACAGGCAGGAGUCUCACCAACACCGAUCCCUUUCUUUGUUCUUUAAUUGAAAGACUGAUUGAUUGAUUACAGGAGGAGCUCAUAGCGCAUGCUAACUUCAAUCACCUGCACACAAAAAUCCUCAACAGCACAUACCUGAAGGAAAUGUAUGAGGAAAACAAAAGAGAUGAGCUCUCCUCAUGAAUAGAUCCUGUUUAGCCCCUGACAAGUAUAUGUGUGAUUUCUAAAAUCAGUUAAAUACAGGGUAAUCAAAAAGUCAGUAAUACAUUUCAUCAGAGAAUUCAUGUCAUGCCCGUAUUUUGAGAUAGGUAAAUAGUGACUGAAGUAACUUGAAAAAAAUCAUUCAUUUGAGGUUGAAGCAAAAUAAGGCUUCCCCCCCUUUUUUUUUUUUUUCAGGAAAUGUAUGUCAUGUGUUAGUAGGAAAACAUUUCAUUCACACUAAAGUUAUAUCUCUUUUAGCUUUAGGACUGAUGUCUUUUGUUUAACUGUAGGUGGUAGUGCUAAUUUCAGCCAUUUAAAAUGAAUUGUGGUCAUUUAAAAAUGUAAAAGUCCUUUUUGAAAUAAUGUUUUCCAUGUUUUGCUUUUAGAACAUGGAAAUGAAACCAGUUUUGCAUACUCAAAAAGUUUCUGGAGAUCUGAAACAAAACAUUUCAUGUCAACAUUCCACAACCAAACUAACCUAUUUCCAAAAUUCACCCAGCUCUGUUUUACCUUAGUAUAAAACAGUGCACUGAGUUCAAUCAGAAUUUAUGAAUAAUUUCAGUCUCCCAACCCCUUCAUUCUUGUUCUAGCCUUAUACAUUCUGUUGAAUUUGAUGUCAUCAGAACUGCUUUGCCUGGCUCCAAUUACAAGCUUCUUACAGCAGGAGUGACAAGAAAAAUUAGAGCUUUGUCUCAAAAUAUUUAGAAUAAUUUAAAUAAUUUUAAAUGGUUUAAACCCAAGUUAUUUUGUAAACACAUCCCAGCUUUUACCAAACCUGUGAGCCUGUGGCUUCUGUCCCAGUUCAGAAAAUAAUGCUGUAGAUUUAAUCCCCUUCUUUUGAGAAUGCCAUGUUAUACAGAUGUUGUCAUCACAAGGUGCAUGAAAACCAGGAAGAUUUUGGUGUUUCAAGCCAGGCUUUCCUUUCAGCUUGGGGAAACAGGGCAGCAAAUGGCAUGCACGAUGAUAAUUAAUGACAGAAUUAACAGGCAUAGCUGUUAUGCUACACUAUUCCAUUGCAACUUACAAAGAACCACUAUCCAGAUGCAAAGACCACAGGCUGGAAAUAGAUUGGAUCUUCCUAAACGUUUAGCUCAGGCCGAUGUCUAUAGACAUAUGGAUGUUUUUAAUUUCUCAUCUGACUUGCAUUCCUAAAGUUAACUUUCAAACCAGUGUCUGCUCUCAGUUAUGCCAUGGGACAGAUCAUAAUAAAGUUCUUUCCAGUUCUUCA